RNAcentral lists this ribosomal RNA (601 nucleotides) under uncultured bacterium. RNAcentral's name for it is "bacterial SSU rRNA". It matches the Rfam family "Bacterial small subunit ribosomal RNA", at positions 338 to 950 of the family's 1533-position model. The record is from RNAcentral.
CCUACGGGAGGCAGCAGUGGGGAAUAUUGGGCAAUGGAGGAAACUCUGACCCAGCGACGCCGCGUGCGGGAUGAAGGCCUUCGGGUUGUAAACCGCUUUCAGUAGGGAAGAAGCGAAAGUGACGGUACCUACAAAAGAAGCACCGGCUAACUAUGUGCCAGCAGCCGCGGUAAUACAUAGGGUGCAAGCGUUGUCCGGAAUUAUUGGGCGUAAAGAGCUCGUAGGUCGUUUGUUACGUCGGAUGUGAAAACCUGAGGCUCAACCUCAGGCCUGCAUUCGAUACGGGCAAACUAGAGUUUGGUAGGGGAGACUGGAAUUCCUGGUGUAGCGGUGGAAUGCGCAGAUAUCAGGAGGAACACCAAUGGCGAAGGCAGGUCUCUGGGCCAAUACUGACACUGAGGAGCGAAAGUCUGGGGAGCGAACAGGAUUAGAUACCCUGGUAGUCCAGACCGUAAACGGUGGGCACUAGUUGUGGGAACCUUCCACGGUUUCUGCGACGCAGCUAACGCAUUAAGUGCCCCGCCUGGGGAGUACGAUCGCAAGAUUAAAACUCAAAGGAAUUGACGGCNGAGACGUGCCGACGACGACGACGAGGGAGAGG